UCAUUUCUCAAAUACAUAACUGUACAGUCCUUAACCGAGGAAGGUCUCAAAAACAUUGGACCGCAUGUAGCAAAGAUGGCAGAAGUCGAAGGGCUGGAGGCUCACAAGAGAGCUGUUACCCUUCGGCUGCAGGAAAUCGAAGCUGGCCUACCUGCUUAGCUGACAUAAUGCAGGUUGUUUCUUGAAGACCUUUGCCAUUUUGCAUCAUUCAUAAUCUGCUAAAAGGCCAAGCUGUUGGGGGUGGUCUUUCUUCAGUGCCCACAAGCAGCUCAAAGUGGGGAGUGCAUAAAACAGUCAGCUCAUUUUUACGUGCAAUAACUACAUCCUCAGAUACAAUUCAUCAUCCGGUUUAUGCUUGCAGAACCUAAUUAAGUUGUGUUCUCACUGUUGUGCAACAUUUUGAAAUUCACAAUCAACGAACAAAUGGAAAAGACAAGCCAAUAAUCAGAAUGGAUAGGGUAUUGCUGUUCGUAUUGUGGCAGCAGACAUGCUGUAGAACUUGUCGCCACCGGUAUUUGCUACGUAAGCCAUCCUUUCACGUUACUGUUCUAAUAUGCAAGAAACUUUUUUCUGUUUGAUAUGCAACAUUGUUGAUUGUUUUAGUCUAAAGUAAUAUUUGAACUUGUGCAGACCUCGAGUUUCUCAUGAAUUCAUUUGUUGUCCUGUA
Molecule: non-coding RNA, 667 nt
Organism: Musa acuminata subsp. malaccensis (wild Malaysian banana)
Lineage: Eukaryota; Viridiplantae; Streptophyta; Magnoliopsida; Zingiberales; Musaceae
Source: RefSeq, a predicted model, not a curated record